UUGAGUUUGAUCCUGGCUCAGAGCGAACGCUGGCGGCAGGCCUAACACAUGCAAGUCGAACGCCCCGCAAGGGGAGUGGCAGACGGGAGAGUAACACGUGGGAACGUGCCCUUCAGCACGGAACAACCAAGGGAAACUUUGGCUAAAACCGUAUACGCCCGCAAGGGGAAAGAUUUAUCGCUGAAGGAUCGGCCCGCGUCUGAUUAGCUAGUUGGUGGGGUAAUGGCUCACCAAGGCGACGAUCAGUAGCUGGUCUGAGAGGAUGAUCAGCCUCACUGGGACUGAGACACGGCCCAGACUCCUACGGGAGGCAGCAGUGGGGAAUAUUGGACAAUGGGCGCAAGCCUGAUCCAGCCAUGCCGCGUGAGUGAUGAAGGCCUUAGGGUUGUAAAGCUCUUUCGUCAGGGAAGAUAAUGACGGUACCUGAAGAAGAAGCCCCGGCUAGCUUCGUGCCAGCAGCCGCGGUAAUACGAAGGGGGCUAGCGUUGCUCGGAAUCACUGGGCGUAAAGCGCACGUAGGCGGCUUUCUAAGUCAGGGGUGAAAUCCCGGAGCUCAACUCCGGAACUGCCUUUGAUACUGGAGAGCUUGAGUUCGGGAGAGGUGAGUGGAACUGCGAGUGUAGAGGUGAAAUUCGUAGAUAUUCGCAAGAACACCAGUGGCGAAGGCGGCUCACCGGCCCGAUACUGACGCUGAGGUGCGAAAGCGUGGG
This 710-nucleotide ribosomal RNA is filed under the name alpha proteobacterium enrichment culture clone h121. Its description in RNAcentral is "bacterial SSU rRNA". It matches the Rfam family "Bacterial small subunit ribosomal RNA", at positions 1 to 765 of the family's 1533-position model. The record is from RNAcentral. Lineage: Bacteria; Pseudomonadati; Pseudomonadota; Alphaproteobacteria.